Molecule: ribosomal RNA, 301 nt
Filed under: uncultured bacterium
Lineage: Bacteria
Description: partial 16S ribosomal RNA
Rfam family: Bacterial small subunit ribosomal RNA
Source: RNAcentral
CAGCAGCCGCGGUAAUACGAGGGGGGCUAGCGUUGUUCGGAAUUACUGGGCGUAAAGCGCACGUAGGCGGCUUGGUAAGUUAGAGGUGAAAGCCCGGGGCUCAACCCCGGAAUUGCCUUUGAGACUGGAUCGCUUGAACACGGGAGAGGUGAGUGGAAUUCCGAGUGUAGAGGUGAAAUUCGUAGAUAUUCGGAAGAACACCAGUGGCGAAGGCGGCUCACUGGACCGUUGUUGACGCUGAGGUGCGAAAGCGUGGGGAGCAAACAGGAUUAGAUACCCCAGUAGUCCCUGUCUCUUAUAC